AUGAACGCUAGCGGCAGGCUUAAUACAUGCAAGGUUGAGGGGCAGCAUGAUAUACGCGAGUAUAUUGAUGGCGACCGGCGGACGGGUGAGUAAUAGGUAGGAGACCUACCUCAUACAGGGGGAUAGCAUAGAGAAAUCUGUGGUAAUACCCCAUGAGGUUAUAUGAAUAGAGGCAUAUAAUCAAAGCAUAAGUGAUUAUGCGGUAUGAGAGGGGCCUACUGACCAUUAGCUAGUUGGUGAGGUAAGGGCUCACCAAGGCGAAGAUGGUUAGGGGUUUUGAGAGAGAGACCCCCCCACAUUGGAACUGAGAGACGGUCCAGACUCCUACGGGAGGCAGCAGUAGGGAAUAUUGGGCAAUGGGCGAAAGCCUGACCCAGCCAUGCCGCGUGAAGGAAGACGGCCUUAUGGGUUGUAAACUUCUUUACUACGCGAAUAGAGGUUAGUACGAGAUACUAAUAGGAAGGUAGUGUAGUAAAAAGCACCGGCUAACUCCGUG
Molecule: ribosomal RNA, 496 nt
Filed under: uncultured bacterium
Lineage: Bacteria
Description: bacterial SSU rRNA
Rfam family: Bacterial small subunit ribosomal RNA
Source: RNAcentral